UGCUCCUGCUGUGAUUUCCCCACCAUGACAGAUUCUAACCUCUGGAAAUUUUCGAUUUUGGCUGAAGAAGAGUGCCAAGAUAAACAACUGACUGAUCACCACAGGUAGCUGUCUUACAACAAUAGGCCGAUUGAUUCUCGCUGCAAGGGGCAAAGAAGAAUCUACCAAAUCAGGUAUGGCUUU
Jaculus jaculus (lesser Egyptian jerboa) is the source of this 183-nucleotide long non-coding RNA. RefSeq lists it as uncharacterized. The transcript is spliced from 3 exons. The record is from RefSeq and is a predicted model, not a curated record. Lineage: Eukaryota; Metazoa; Chordata; Mammalia; Rodentia; Dipodidae.